GUGUGAAAAGCAUCACAGGAGCCUCUGGAUAAAGAUUCUCAGCCUCAGCAACAAGACUAUAGUAGAGAGGAUUAUGCUGAAUGGUGAAACAUGAAACAAAUGUGAUGAAGCAGCAUGGAGCUAAGGAGAGGAAAGACCUUCAUAAAAUCAAGUUUGCAGCUGACUUCUGAGAAAGCGCCAUUGGUGGAUGAGAUUCCUACAGACAAGGAUGAUCUAGGAAAAGACAAAAGGGUAGCAGUUGAGGGGAGCAAAAGUGAAGUGGUCCAACCAGCAAGUUUGGCCACACACAAAUAUGACCGAUUUUCUAAUACAACGACAAGGAGCGGGGCUAGUGAAAACAUCUUCGUGACAUCUGGGUCUUCCUACAAACUGGUAAGAAAGAGUAAAACCCAUGAUUGUGUGAUAGAGGUAGACAAAACAGAACAAUGCAACCACAGCGAUAAAGCUUACAAGGAGGGCUCCUCAGCUCCAGGAAGAAGUAAAGGGCGACUUGUCAAUAGCAUCAGCUUUUCUGGGGUGGGGAGCACCCUGAAUUCCAGUGGUAAGAAAGAGUCCGUGGUCAGCCCAAGCCAGUCCACUUACAGCAGUCAGCAGAUGAUAGAUUAUAGAAACUUUGUGCCACAGAUGCCUUUUGUACCAGCUGUAGCAAAAAGCAUUCCCAGGAAGAGGAUUUCCCUUAAGAGGUCUAAAAAAGGGCUCCGGGAUAUAUUUCACAUGAAAAAAAAUAAACCAGAGAGCCUAACCCUGCUGGUUGAGAAAGGCAAGAGGCUGCCUUCUCCAGCGUGGAAGAGCGAGCUCUCAGGCAGGCUUGGGAAGUAUCUUUUCAAACCCAGAGAAACCUUUGCAGCUGACUGCUUGGCACAAGACCUCUCCGACAGUGAAAUGCAGUCCGACUCCUCCUAUGACUACUGCAAUGCUCUGUGUGAAGAUGUAGCUUCUCUGAAGAGCUUUGACUCGCUCACUGGAUGUGGGGAAAUCUUUGCAGAUGAGAGCUCUGCUCAUUUGGACCUGGAGAGCAGCAAAGAAGUGCUGAUGAGGCGAUCCAAGCACAAAGAGAGCCCUGCCCUGGGGUCUUUUCAAGGUGGGGUGGAACAGCUGGCGUCCCCUGCCCAAAACGAAGCAGCUGACUUUGCAAAAUUUUGGGAUAACAUCAACAAGUCAGUGCGAUUACAUCAGAGCACGUUAUUUGAUAGGAGGUUGUUGAAGAUACCCAGUCCUGACUUGGGAAAGACUAAACGUGAAGCUGCUGCUUCAAUGACUGACCUGCUGGUGUCACCUGAUAAAGAUCCUGACAGUUCCAAAGAAAGCUCCGUAGAUACAGGGACACCAAAAAGUGACCACCAAGAAUCCACCUCCACCAGUGAUGAAGGAUACUAUGAUUCAUUCUCUCCUGGGCAGGAUGAUGAAAUGAAGGAGGCUCAGACUCCUGGGGUUCCAGGUAGAUUUCCCAGAGACAGUUACAGUGGCGAUGCCCUUUAUGAACUAUUCUAUGAUCCCAAUGAAGCCAAAAUAAGCCCAGUCCUUGACGAUGAGCUGUGUAUGUCAGAAAGCAUUUCAGACCAGGCCAUUGAAAUCCCUUUGUCGAUUUACAGCUUUCAUGUGGGAGCAGAGGAGAAUAUGGCUUCACAGCCAGCUGUUGACAUCAUUAGCCAGGGGUUUCUUCAGAGCACAUGGAAAGGUAAGGAAUGCUUGUUAAAGCUCUGUGAUACUGAACUCUCACUGACCAUGGGGAUAAUAAACUGGCUACGAAAAAACCCAGGAUUGGUUUCCCCCACGGACCCAAUUAGGAGUCCCGAAUUACAGCUGGAAAAAAGUGGCAAUCCAUUGGUCUCCUGUAGUCCCAGUCUAUGCCAGAGUGAGCACAUAGCAGCUGAGGAGGAAAAACCAACCAAGGGAGAAACUGAUAUUUCUAAUCCAAAGUCUUCUUUGGUUAAUGACAAUGACACGGUCCAGACGUGUUUAGGGGGCGUGGCUGAAAAAGACCAAAGGGAGGUUUCUUGGCCUCACACAGCUAAUGGGCAUUCUCAGAUAAGGGAAGGAAACUGCCCUGAGGACUCAUGUAAUGUGUCUGGCCUUCAGGAAGCCAACAGCACAUCAGGUAAUGGGCCAAGAUCACAAGCUAUUGCAGACACUUUAGGGACCUGUUUGUCUGAAAAAGAGAAGAUGCCAGUUUUAGGAGAAUGCAAGGGACCUGGAGAUAAAGCCCCAUUAACAGGCAACCUGAACAUGGAGCCUGCUUGCCAGAGCUCUCAAAAUCCUUCGUUAAAUGAUAGCCAGGAAGUAGAAUCCUGUUAUUCUUAUAUGACUGCAGCAACUUCCCCAAUGGAUUCCCUAGAGACAGCAGAUAGCAAUAAAACAAUAUAUCAUUCCUUGUCUAUUUCCUGCGACAAGCCAAUGCAGCCUCUUACUCUGAGACAUUUUCAAAGCUACAUCAGCCCCACACAAAGGGACAGCGACACUACUAUAGUGCAGCUUCUGGAACGUUGUGUCACUCAAGUUGCAUCCUUAAAAAUCAGCUAUGAAAACAAACAUCUGGAAGACAAAUGCAUCGGGAAUGAAAUGAACAACAUAAUUUGUAAGAUGUCUCAAUACAAAAACAAAAUAUUGUUGCAGAAUGAAUGCAACUGUAUCACCCAGAGUUUAGAACACCCUGGUCUCCCUCACACAAACCAAGAUAAUUAUGAGACAAGCCUCAAAGCCAGUAAUCCAUAUCAGUUGAAACAAAAUAAGGAAUUAAUUUGCUCUAAAGAUCAGAAACACAGAACAAAUAUCCUAGAUCAUAUGAGUCAGGUCACCAGGAGCAAAAUAAAUUUUGAAUAUGCCCAGUUAAAUAAUCAAGCCCUCUCUUACAUAAAAGACUUUACAUCUGAACCUAGACCAAGUGACUCUAACAGCAUGACACCCCUUAGUAGGCCAACAUUUUUACCUCUCUUCAACUCUGUUUGCUCAGCUGUACCCAAUGAUUUUUCACAAGCCUGCACAAACAGUUCACUGGACAAACCAUUGCAAAGUAAUGAAUCUACGCAGUGCAGCACAACCUCAUGCAGUUACACAGAAGAAUACCACCAAGGACUCUCUGAAGGGGCCACUCUUCCUAAUAACCCAGAGCUGACUACCACAGACAGAGCAGUGACUGGCAAGAACCAUCAAUGACACACCAGUGUCACAAGAAUCCGUCCCCACCCCCAUCACUGCAUCACUACAAGAAGUUAAGGUAGUCUGGAUAUCUUGCUUGCAAGUGGAACCUUAACUGCAUUUUGUGCAACACUGAAGAAACCAGUUGUAAAUAAUGAUGGUUUCCCACCUGUGUGUGUAAAUGAAGCAAGUCACAAUGAGGUCAAACUGGUGUCAUAAGCAACAAGAAUUUCUCACCAAGGGACCCAGUGGAGACCCUACAGGGGAAAAAUCAUCCUACUUAUUAACAAAUAUUGUUGGAGCUUACGACACACCCCCUUGAAUCCAGGUUUGCAAAUGGGCAAUAAACAUGCUCCAUUUUUAAAUAGCAAUGAAAUUAUGGUUAAAGUUGUUCCAUGACAUGAAUGAGCAAUUAAAUGAAUCUCUUUUGUCAUAUUGCACCGUAUGAUGAAGUCUUUCAGGCAACAAAAAAUGCUAGUAUUUUUUUUUAAAUGCAAAUAUGUGCCGAAGCAGCAUUAACUUGGUUUAGAUAAUUUUCAUUCUUUUGGAUAAUGUAAAUAUUGUGAAUUUCUACUGAACUUCACAGAAGUGCUUAAACUAUUACAAUAACAUUUAUUAAUCAUCUUAAACUUGAUCAUGCAGACUACGUUUGUACGCUGAGAUUUAUCACUUGGUUUAAAACAUUUUGUAAAUAUGGAGAUAACAGGAAGUAUAAAAUGGUCUAUAUUCUCCAAAGAAGUUGUUUACUAUGUACCCUAGUUAUAGAGGGUUGUGUUUGAGAAUGAUUAUUAAAAAGUUGUUACUUGUUCUGUUCUAAGAAAAACACCCUGCUUAAGUGUGAAACCGUGGUUUUAUUUAAUCCCAGAAAGUCUUGUUUUUCUAAUUUAGAACCCAGUUAGAUAUACCACUAACUGGACUUUCAUUUUCUGUGAAGAAGCCUCUCAAGUGGGUUGAACUCAAGAGCCAUUAUUUUCAAGGCAGUUCUAACUUGUGCUUAAUGCAAACUGUCACAUACUGGAAGGGCACAGGAUUAUACUGGAUUGAAACUGGAUACACAGAAGUUCUAUGGCUAUAGAUUAGACUGGUGAUCUAAUGGUUCCUUCUGGCCUUACAAUCUACGAAAAGAACAUUAGAUCAUCUAGUCCGAUAUCCUGCUUCAAAUAGGGUUUGACAUCUGAUGCUUUAUGGAAGGGGGAAAAAAAUCCAUCCAUAAUUCAUACAGAUUUAUAUGUUGUAAUAUGGAGUGGAGAAUGAGGUGAAGGAAGAGGAUUCUUUCCUGACUUCCACAAGCAGUCAUUUUACACCUUGAAGCAUGAGAUGUGGUUACCCUUUGCUUGCACAUUUGCAGCUGUCAGUCAAGUACUGUAGAGAGAUUUUUUUAAAAAGUGGAUAAUGUAGUGAGUAUUAUCUAAACUUUGCUGAAUAUGAAUUGGUACAAAAAUAACAUAAGGCACUGAGAUCAGGGACCUGUGAAAUGAAAUUCAGUGUUCCAGAGAUAGCAUAUGGCUUCAAAAAUGUCUCUCAUGGAUAGUCAUGAAAUAAAACCCACCCAUUAGGGUCAUCAAGGUUUCCAGUACAGGUCAUCUUCAGGAUGAAAGCAUUUGAUACAAAAAACCUGUCCUCUACAGUAUAGAGGAACAUUUGUGACCCUCCUUUGCUGCUGAGAGAUAGGUAAGGGUGGGCUGCCAAGAAUUUAUAGUUUAGAACAUAAGUCUAAAAUCACAAACAAUUCAUCACACAGGCAUCCCUUCAGCAAUGCUAAAGUGACACACUAUUUGUGGGCUAACCAAAUAAUGAAACACAUGGCUCAACAGAAGAGGUUGUGUAAGAACCUGUUCUUCACAAAACUGAUCUCUCUUCUUUUACAAUUAUUCAACUGACCUCUUUCUUCAUCUUGUUUACUUCCAAACUGUCCUUGCAAUACUGAUGGCCAAUGAGAGCAUAUGGCCAGAAUUUCUCCAAAGUGACACAUGAUAGACCCUCCCCUUUUCCCAGGGAUUCUAGGCUUAGGUAACAAGUGGGAAGGAGCAGAAGAGAGGAACAAAGCAAGGUGAUAGUAGUAGAAAAGUGCCAAUACUGCAACUAGAAUUAAUAGAAAUAUAUAAUAAAUACCAGCUUGCUCUUAUAUAAGCUUUACAAAGGAGGUCAGUAUCAUUAUCUCAUCAUCCUCAUUUUACAGAUGGGUAAACUGAGGCACAGGGAGGUGAAGUGACUAGACCAAUUCUCAGGGUGCCCAGAACUGUGAGUCAUCCUGUUACCCCCUGACUCCAAAGUGAGGGAGAGUUGCUUGUGCUUAGCUGGGUGUUGGCUCGUGAACACUACCAGUCUGUUAGCUACUCAAGCACUUGCCUCUGGGCUAUGCCAACCCUUACUUUGCCUCGCAAGUUAACAAUAAGUGCUCUCCAAUCCCCAAACCCCCUUUGAAGCAUUACCCUGAGAUAUCCAACCCCUGGCUACUCACAGACAUUCCGGAUCCAUUGUUCCCAAAGGAACAAAACACACCAGCCUGUGAGAUUCAGCUCAUGUUCAAUACUCAGCUUAAUAUCAGAUAUUUUCAGUUAAAUGAUUCAGUUUAUCAUCAAAGAUUCAAAUAACAGUGAGUAAGAAUAUUGGAAACAAAUAGUUACAUAUAAAAACAAAAACAACUUUCUAGAGACUAAGCUUAACUAACAGGUUAAUGUCCUGUUUAAAGUCUUCUGCAGCAUUUUCAACCAAGGUUGGUUGAGAGUCCAUUUUUAUGAAUGAAAGCAUGCUGUCCAUUUACUUCCUAGGUGCAGGAUACCAUGGUGUCUUCUCUGCCUCUCAGCAAUACCUCCAAAGUUCACCCUCUUUACUCUUAGCCAGAAUAACCCUCCGCCCCCGGCUUGUUUUUUCCUCUGUGUGCCUUCCCUGUUGAUUUCACAUCUCUUAACAUUUGACUUCAUAUAUAAAGAGGCGUCCAUUGCAUUAGCUUGGAAUGUUUAGUUUACAUCCUGACAGAGAUACACAUUGCUUACCUCCUGUCUAGAGCAAAACCAUUUUUUCCACCUUUGCUGGUGACUGAUACCUUGAUACAGACUUAAAAAACAAAUUUUCAGUACAUAUGCACAAUUCCUGACAGAGUAUCUAUACAUACAUUUCACAACAAUAUUAAUGACCAUAGUGACACAGGCUUGCAUUUGAGCAGACACCUGCCCCAUGAGGUGCCCAUAACCCUUCUGAUUCCCUCUGCUGGUUGGCAUUUAGUGGUUCUUGGGUCACACCCAAGCAGUACUUGUUUCUUUAACUGGUAUUUGCUCUUCUCUUGCUUUGGUUUUUUCCCUCCCCAUCUCACCCACCAGCUCUGUGUGAGCCUCCUUGCCCCCUGCCCCAGCUGCCUGGACUAAAAGUAUCUGGGAGGCUUUUUCCCUGCCUCCACUUUGUCCAAAUGGUCUUCCUCAUAGCAAAGGCUCCCCUCAUCUUCCCCACCCCCCAUGGCUAAAUCACAGAGAUUUAUGAGUCUGCUAUAACCUUCUAGAUUGGGCAGUAUAGAGGGUGUGCUUUUUAGACCCAGAGGUCCUGAGUUUGAUUCCUGCUGUCAGCAGCCCCACCAGAUGUGCUGCAUUACAUAUGAUAGUGAAAAUUCAAGCCACCAGUCUAUGCAAAUUGUCUCAGAGUUGCUAGCCUCAGCGGAGUUGCACAAAUGUUGGGAGAUGUGCAGAAAUUUUCAGUGAGGACAAGUAUGUAAUGGGGUCAUGCUACUCACUCCUCAUUGGUGCCACCUCAUGGCUCAUCUGAGGAAUUAGCUCACCAUUGUUGGUGCCCCAUCCUGCAGUCAGUCAGCCCAUUGUCUGUGUCACUUGCUCUGCCUCUUCCAUGGCUUAGCCUUCCAGCUAGGUCACAAUCAUCUUCCCCUUCUGAGGUCUCACCAAGGUCUCUCUCCACACAGUCUCAGGCAGUUUUCAUACCCACUGCAACACUCCCACAGUGGAUUGUAAGGGAACCCAGGUCCCACUUGCUUCUGCACAGGUGAUCAUCAUCCCCAACUAAGCCUCAUCACAUCCUAGCUCUCCUUCAGGUGCAGCCUAUGGCUAAUUGUCCUCUCUUGCCAAUAUUAACCCUGCCAGGGCUUGCAUAGGGUGAAUGCCCCAUCAAAAAUAAUUAAAUCCAAUCUUUUUCUUUGAACAUUAAAAAAAUAUUCAACCUGCUCAUGGCCCUCCUUGAAUCAGGUGGCAAACAAACAUAGCUGCCACCCGCUGGUUCAGCAGCGAGUAUCUAGCAUAAACUGGUUACAUUGUGUAUGCUUCAUUUUCCUUGCGUUUGAAGCUUCAGAUGUGCUGACAAAUUGAACCCAUAUAAUGUGAAUGUUCUUUUUAAAUUGCAGUGUGCUUUGAAGGAACAGGUUCCCACUUAGGUCUCUCAGUCUGUAAUGCAUUGGUAUUUCUCUUUAGUCUACAUAUCUUGAUGGUCUACUAAAUUUUAAAUGAGUCAAACCUAAGAUGAAGGAAGGCAGCCUAAUAAUCUAAACCCUAUGCAUUUUUUGUGGCUCAGUGAAACCAACUACUGUAUAUUGUUCCUUGUCUUAUAUUCUUUGCACACCCAAAGUGUGCAAGGAGUGGAGUACUGGGUCUAUGGUGAGCAUAUGCCUAUAAAACAUGAAUAAUUCCUUAAGAAUUAAAGGCAACCUGCAAAGAUUAAAAUAGUAAUACCUAGCUCUAAAAUAAUGCUUUUCAUCAAUAGAGUUCCAAGCGCUUCACAGUCUUUAUCCUCUCUGAGAUAAGGAAAGUUGUGCCCACGUUACAAGUGGGGAAUAGAGAGACUAAGUGACUUACCCAAGCUUACACAGAACAUCUCUGGCAGAGCAGGAAAUCAAACCUUGGUUUCUCAAGUCCUGGGCUAGUGGUGUAACCACUGCACCAUCUUUUCCAAAAGUAAUGGGGUUCUAUUAUACUCCAUUUUUGGUUUCAGAAGCCAUGAAAGAAAUUGUGUUUUGUUUUUUUAUUUUUUUUCUCCUAGAAAUAGCAAGCCUUCUUAUCCCUACUUUUGUUGCAGAAUUCACUGUGAGUUCUGUGCACUCAGCUAUUGAAACUUUAACAGAGAUCUUUUCUCCUAAGGUCAUAGCGCACCUGAGUUAAAUAGUGUUUAAACACUGUAGCUUGAAUAAAAAAAUCACCCCUCCCAUCAAAAUGAUCAGGUUUCAUUGCUUUAAAAUCACUGACACUACUAGCUUUCCAGACAAUUCCAAGAAAAACAGGACACGCAUGAUACAAAUUUCUAAUGUGAGACAUGCUGAAAAAAAGGUUGUUUUUAAAAGGCCCAGACCUUUCAGGGCUUCUUGGUGCAUCAUAAACGAGUCAAAAAGGGGCACCAGGGUACCACUACCUCUUUCCUCUAAAGAUCAUCUUUAAAGAAUAGGUGUCUCCAGAUAAAAUUCUCAGUGGAGUUUUGAGGCUUGGCAAAAAACUAGAACACUGUGCCAAAGUCAGCUCACUUGUGUGAAUGGGCAGAACCCAAAUGGUUUCAAAGGAGUUGUAACCGCUCAUACCAAUGAUGAAAAUUUAAAGUGUUAAAAAUAAGAUAAAAAAUAAAGUUAGUCAGACUUAGAUUAUGUCUUAAGGGCCCACCCUUAGAUUUUUAUAUCUCAAGUAAACACAUUUUUAAUCUGAAAGUGAUAUCAAAAUAUUUUGUGUUCUAACAAAAUAUUAUAUUCACAACACAAUAGACCAUGAGUGCUAUGCUGGACUGGAAAGGGCGUCUGUUAUGCAGAGGUGGUAGCGAGCAGGGGCUCUUGGGAGGGCAAAUUCCUACUUUGAAUGAAAUGGUCCUGCUAGACCAAGCAAGGGUCAGCAAACUGAACACAGAUUUACCAUGCUACAUUCCUGUUUAAGCCAAACAAUGUAAAAUGUGAAAAAAUCUACAAGAUGUUAGCAGUGUUGUCAUGGCCAUGUUGGUCCCAGUGUGUCAGAGAGGUGGGUAAAGUAAAGAGAUGAACUUUCAAGCUACACAGAGCUUCUGGUCUGAAGGAGAGCUCUGUGUAGUUUGAA
Gopherus evgoodei (Goodes thornscrub tortoise) is the source of this 9137-nucleotide RNA transcript. It is a transcript of the gene named APC membrane recruitment protein 3, with no coding region annotated. The transcript is spliced from 4 exons. The record is from RefSeq and is a predicted model, not a curated record. Lineage: Eukaryota; Metazoa; Chordata; Testudines; Testudinidae.